CGCGGAGUUGGACUUUCUGCCGAUUGUUGACCUCCUUUCACAUAAGGAGGGCUCAUAACCCGGAGGCCCCAGGUUCAAAUCCUGGCUCCGCAACCA
RNAcentral lists this transfer RNA (96 nucleotides) under Holosporales bacterium. RNAcentral's name for it is "tRNA-Met". Lineage: Bacteria; Pseudomonadati; Pseudomonadota; Alphaproteobacteria; Holosporales. The record is from RNAcentral.